This 63-nucleotide transfer RNA is filed under the name Ixodes myrmecobii. RNAcentral's name for it is "tRNA-Cys". Lineage: Eukaryota; Metazoa; Arthropoda; Arachnida; Ixodida; Ixodidae. The record is from RNAcentral.
AAUCUUAUAUUUUAUUAAAAAAAUAUUAAAUUGCAAAUUUAAAGAAGAAAAUUACUAAGAUUU